UUAAAAGUUGCAAAUGAUGGAUAAAAUCUGUUUACUGACAAAUUGUGAUGUCAUAAACAUUUCGUCACUACCACUGAUGCAACGCUUAG
Small nucleolar RNA from Pecten maximus, 89 nucleotides. RefSeq annotates it as small nucleolar RNA SNORD70. The transcript has a single exon. Lineage: Eukaryota; Metazoa; Mollusca; Bivalvia; Pectinida; Pectinidae. The record is from RefSeq and is a predicted model, not a curated record.